UGAACAAGUGGAGAAACCAUCUCUAACAAAAGGGGUCUGGGUACAUUAUAAUGAGCUGUCACAAUAUCAUUUUCCCACCGGACUUUACCCCUUUUGUUAGAGCUGGUUUCCCCACUUGUUAA
Non-coding RNA from Podarcis lilfordi (Lilford's wall lizard), 122 nucleotides. The record is from the annotation of a GenBank genome assembly. Lineage: Eukaryota; Metazoa; Chordata; Lepidosauria; Squamata; Lacertidae.